GACGAACGCUGGCGGCGUGCUUAACACAUGCAAGUCGAACGGAAAGGCCCUGCUUGCAGGGUACUCGAGUGGCGAACGGGUGAGUAACACGUGGGUGAUCUGCCCUGCACUUCGGGAUAAGCCUGGGAAACUGGGUCUAAUACCGGAUAGGAGCCAUUUUUAGUGUGAUGGUUGGAAAGUUUUUUCGGUGUAGGAUGAGCUCGCGGCCUAUCAGCUUGUUGGUGGGGUAAUGGCCUACCAAGGCGGCGGCGGGUAGCCGGCCUGGGGGGGUGGACGGCCACAUUGGGACUGAGGUACGGCCCAGGCACCCACGGGGGGCAACAGGGGGGAAUAUUGCACAAUGGGCGCAAGCCGGAUGCAGCGACGCCGCGGGGGGGAAGACGGCCUUCGGGUUGGAAACUCCGUUCGCUAGGGACGAAGCUUUUUGUGACGGUACCUAGAUAAGAAGCACCGGCUAACUACGUA
This 465-nucleotide ribosomal RNA is filed under the name uncultured bacterium. Its description in RNAcentral is "partial 16S ribosomal RNA". It matches the Rfam family "Bacterial small subunit ribosomal RNA", at positions 28 to 507 of the family's 1533-position model. The record is from RNAcentral.